CUGAAAGUGGCAUUUGAGAGAGAAGAUACUUCCUCUCGUAGUGGACACUUGUCUUUUCAGAAGAUUUAUACGACUGAGAGUCAAAACUUUUACCAGAGACUUUCAUAGUCAGUUUGAAUUCUGCAAAAUUUCUCUUUAUCUUCUGGAAUGUAUGCUCUAGACUUGGAGUGGCUCAAGCUCUUCGAUGUGAUCCUAUCAAUGUCAAGAGAAAGAAGCACUGAAGAGUCAUAAUUGUGUCCUGAUUUAUAAAUCGGAGACAGAGGGAGACGAAAACCACACUCCAGAAAGUAGCUUAAUCGGACUCACUACUAAGAUGUUAAAAGUGAAGAGGCUGGAAGAAUUCAACACGUGUUAUAACAGCAACCAGCUGGAGAAAAUGGCCUUUUUUCAGUGCAGGGAAGAGGUGGAGAAAGUGAAGUGUUUUCUGGAAAAAAAUUCUGGGGACCAGGAUUCAAGAUCUGGACAUAAUGAGCUUUCAUGCAGCUGUUGAGAAGUCCAAACAAGUUCAGAAUCCUGAUCUUUUGUGUGUGGCCUAUAUUUUCUCUCUCUAGCAACUUGGGAAACCUUCUAUUUGUCCUUGUAUUGGGAAAAGUUUCUGCCAGAACCAAGAACCACUGUCCACAGAGUCUUGCUCUGUCACCCAGGCUGGAGUGCGGUGGUGUGAUCUUGGCUCACUGCAACCUCUGCCCCCCAAGUUCAAGCGAUUCUCCUGCCUUGGCCUCCCGAGUAGCUGGGACUACAGAUGGAAUCUUGCUGUGUCUCCAGGCUGGAGUGUAGUGGCGCGAUCUCGGCUCACUGCAACCUCUGCCUCCCGGGUUCAAGCAAUUCUCCUGCCUCAGCCUCCCGAGUAGCUGGGACUACAGGUGCCAGCCAUCACGCCCGGCUAAUUUUUUGUAUUUUUAGUAGAGAUGGGGUUUCACCAUGUUGGCCAGGAUGGUCUCGAUCUCCUGACCUCGUGAUCUACCCGCCUCAGCCUCCCAAAGUGCUGGGAUUAUAGGCGUGAGCCACCGCGCCCAGCCUAGUCUCUGCUUUUUUAAAAAAAAUGUUAGGACAGUGGUCCCUAAACUUGUCUGUGUAUUAGAAUCACCUGGGAAAUCUUUAAAAAUUCUAAGGACCAGGUAAAUUAAAUUAUAAUCUCUGGGAAUAGGACUGAUUUUUGUAUUUUUAGUAGAGACGGGGUUUUGCCAUGUUCACCAGGCUGGUCUCGAACUCCUGACCUCAGGUGAUCCACCCGCCUCAGCCUCCCAAAGUGUUGGGAUUACAGGUGUGAGCCACCACAUCCAGCCCAGACUAAUUUUUCUGAUGACAAAUGCUGCUUGUUGAUGUGAAUUCUGAUAUGGCACACACUUGAGCCUCACUUUGUUAGCUAUUAAUUUGUGUUACUGAAUUUACAGGCCUGGAAUACAAUUUGUGCUUCUUUUUAAAUAAAUUUCAUACUUUUUUUUUAAUGGACUU
This 1455-nucleotide long non-coding RNA is filed under the name Homo sapiens (human). RNAcentral's name for it is "HSALNT0331750". The record is from RNAcentral. Lineage: Eukaryota; Metazoa; Chordata; Mammalia; Primates; Hominidae.